GGACAGUCAGAGAUAUGGCUUACAUCUGCUCAGCUUUAUUGUUCUGUCUUCACAAACAUUUGGCAUGUCGGAGAGAGAAGCUUAGAGUUGACCAAUCCAUACGAGCCUGUGAAAAGGACCUUCGCACUAUUUCAGUUGCUUUCCAGACCAAGUGUGGCAUAAACUACUUUUAUAUCAGCUGAUCAUGGGGUCAAGUAAUUUGGAUGCUUUGUUAGAUAUCUUCUUGGAAUUUACUGAGGCCAGAUAUGAAUGAUAAACUCACACAUUCCUUUCGCUGGAUUCUAAAGACCUUAUGGAGAAUAUUGAUGAGCGGACUAAGGAUCCAAAGAGUCAAGCAUUUGCACACAGAAUAGGCCCAGGC
Molecule: long non-coding RNA, 361 nt
Filed under: Fukomys damarensis (Damara mole-rat)
Lineage: Eukaryota; Metazoa; Chordata; Mammalia; Rodentia; Bathyergidae
Description: lncRNA (ENSFDAG00000028604.1)
Source: RNAcentral